RNAcentral lists this ribosomal RNA (784 nucleotides) under uncultured archaeon. RNAcentral's name for it is "bacterial SSU rRNA". It matches the Rfam family "Archaeal small subunit ribosomal RNA", at positions 155 to 922 of the family's 1478-position model. The record is from RNAcentral.
GAUAGGUGAAGAAGUCUGGAAUGAAUCUUCGCUCAAAAGACGUUUAUGUCAUGCUCAUAUUCGUCGCCCAGGGAUGGGGCCGCGACCGAUCAGGUAGUUGGUGAGGCAAUGGCUCACCAAGCCUUUUACCGGUGCGGGCCGUGAGAGCGGGAGCCCGGAGAUGGGCACUGAGACAAGGGCCCAGGCCCCACGGGGCGCAGCAGUCGCGAAAACUUUGCAAUACACGAAAGUGUGACAGGGCUAUCCCGAGUGCCAUCCGCUGAGGAAGGCUUUUACCCAGUAUAAAUAGCUGGGAGAAUAAGGAGAGGGCAAGUCUGGUGUCAGCCGCCGCGGUAAUACCAGCUCUCCGAGUAGUGUGGACGUUUAUUGGGCCUAAAGCAUCCGUAGCUUGCUAGAUAAGUCCUCUGUUAAAUCCACCGAUUCAAUCGUUGGAUUGCGGGGGAUACUGUUUGGCUAGGGGACGGGAGAGGUCGACGGUAUUUCCGGGGUAGGGGUGAAAUCCUAUAAUCCCGGGAAGACCACCAGUGGCGAAGGCUGUCGACUAGAACGCGCCCGACGGUGAGGGAUGAAAGCUGGGGGAGCGAACCGGAUUAGAUACCCGGGUAGUCCCAGCUGUAAACGAUGCAGGCUAGGUGUUUGGGCGGCCACGAGCCGCCCUAGUGCCGCAGGGAAGCUGUUAAGCCUGCCGCCUGGGGAGUACGGCCGCAAGGCUGAAACUUAAAGGAAUUGGCGGGGGAGCACCACAAGGGGUGAAGCUUGCGGUUUAAUUGGAUUCAACGCCGGG